UACGUAGGUGGCGAGCGUUGUCCGGAAUUACUGGGUGUAAAGGGCGUGUAGGCGGGAUGGUAAGUCAGAUGUGAAAUUCCGAAGCUUAACUUCGGCGCUGCAUCUGAAACUAUCGUUCUUGAGUGCUGGAGAGGAAAGCGGAAUUCCUAGUGUAGCGGUGAAAUGCGUAGAUAUUAGGAGGAACACCAGUGGCGAAGGCGGCUUUCUGGACAGUAACUGACGCUGAGGCGCGAAAGCGUGGGGAGCAAACAGG
RNAcentral lists this ribosomal RNA (253 nucleotides) under uncultured bacterium. RNAcentral describes it as "partial 16S ribosomal RNA". It matches the Rfam family "Bacterial small subunit ribosomal RNA", at positions 524 to 776 of the family's 1533-position model. The record is from RNAcentral.